CACGUAGGGGGCAAGCGUUGUCCGGAUUCAUUGGGCGUAAAGAGCUCGUAGGCGGUUCGAUAAGUCGGGUGUGAAACCUCCAGGCUCAACCUGGAGACGCCACCCGAUACUGUCGUGACUAGAGUCCAGUAGGGGAGCGUGGAAUUCCUGGUGUAGCGGUGAAAUGCGCAGAUAUCAGGAAGAACACCAAUUGCGAAGGCAGCUCGCUGGGACGUUACUGACGCUGAGACGCGAAAGCGUGGGGAGCAAACAGG
Molecule: ribosomal RNA, 254 nt
Filed under: uncultured bacterium
Lineage: Bacteria
Description: partial 16S ribosomal RNA
Rfam family: Bacterial small subunit ribosomal RNA
Source: RNAcentral